UGAACAGGUAAAUUAGAACUAAUUGUGUU
RNAcentral lists this non-coding RNA (29 nucleotides) under Bombyx mori (domestic silkworm). Lineage: Eukaryota; Metazoa; Arthropoda; Insecta; Lepidoptera; Bombycidae. The record is from RNAcentral.